AACGCGAAGAACCUUACCAGGUCUUGACAUCCAAAGAAUCCUGUAGAAAUACGGGAGUGCCUUCGGGAGCUUUGAGACAGGUGGUGCAUGGUUGUCGUCAGCUCGUGUCGUGAGAUGUUGGGUUAAGUCCCGCAACGAGCGCAACCCUUGCCUUUAGUUGCCAGCAUGUGAUGGUGGGCACUCUAGAGGGACCGCCGGUGUGAAACCGGAGGAAGGUGGGGAUGACGUCAAGUCCUCAUGGCCUUUAUGCCCAGGGCUACACACGUACUACAAUGGGCGGUACAAAGGGGAGCGAAGGAGUGAUCCGGAGCCAAUCCCAAAAAGCCGUUCACAGUUCGGAUUGGAGUCUGCAACUCGACUCCAUGAGGGUGGAAUCGCUAGUAAUCGCGGAUCAGCAUGCCGCGGUGAAUACGUUCCCGGGUCUUGUACACACCG
Molecule: ribosomal RNA, 435 nt
Filed under: uncultured bacterium
Lineage: Bacteria
Description: bacterial SSU rRNA
Rfam family: Bacterial small subunit ribosomal RNA
Source: RNAcentral